This 322-nucleotide ribosomal RNA is filed under the name Mesalina guttulata. RNAcentral's name for it is "partial 16S ribosomal RNA". It matches the Rfam family "Bacterial large subunit ribosomal RNA", at positions 2016 to 2547 of the family's 2925-position model. The record is from RNAcentral. Lineage: Eukaryota; Metazoa; Chordata; Lepidosauria; Squamata; Lacertidae.
CUGUCUCUUGUAGUUGACCAAUGAAACUGAUCUUGUAGUCCAAAAGCUACAAUAAAAACACCAGACGAGAAGACCCUGUGGAGCUUCAAACCAAAACCAAAUUAAUGACCCCUUGGUUUUUAGUUGGGGCAACUUCGGAGUAUACACCAACCUCCGACAAAAUAACUAAGACAGACAAGUCUAAACAAUUUAUUCGACCCAAUAGUUUACAAUAAACUACUUGACCAAUGAACCAAGUUACCCCAGGGAUAACAGCGCUAUCCCCUUUUAGAGUCCCUAUCGACAAGGGGGCUUACGACCUCGAUGUUGGAUCAGGACACCA